CUCUGUUUCUGUACUGACUGAGGAAGUUCUAACAAGACAGUAACUGCAGAAUGAGAACAUGGAAAGAACACGGUCUCUGGAGUCAUUCAGCACCUAGGCCACUUUGAGAACAUUUUAGCUGACAACAGUGUGAACGACCAGACCAAAAUCCUUGUGGUUAAUGCCGCCUACUUUGUUGGCAAGUGGAUGAAGAAAUUUCCUGAAUCAGAAACAAAAGAAUGUCCUUUCAGAGUCAACAAGACAGACACCAAACCAGUGCAGAUGAUGAACAUGGAGGCCACGUUCUGUAUGGGAAACAUUGACAGUAUCAAUUGUAAGAUCAUAGAGCUUCCUUUUCAAAAUAAGCAUCUCAGCAUGUUCAUCCUACUACCCAAGGAUGUGGAGGAUGAGUCCACAGGCUUGGAGAAGAUUGAAAAACAACUCAACUCAGAGUCGCUGUCACAGUGGACUAAUC
RNAcentral lists this small RNA (454 nucleotides) under Pan troglodytes (chimpanzee). RNAcentral describes it as "processed transcript". The record is from RNAcentral. Lineage: Eukaryota; Metazoa; Chordata; Mammalia; Primates; Hominidae.